AUGCAACACAAGGAGAUGUGGUGGUAUCCCCUGAAAGCUCUGAACCGUGAAGCAUAUCAAGAGGGGAAAACAGCAAACAGGAGGCAUGAGGAGGAACACUCUCCUCGCCCUUGCGUCCUGGCUCAUGCUGCUUGCACUCUUCAUCACAACCGCCACUGCUUCACUGCCGUGCCAGUGUUGCUGGAUCGUGGAGCAUCCGAGGAGGACCUGCGGCCACGCCUGCUGCGGCGACAACUGCUGCCCGCCCGCUCCACCGCCAUCCGCAGGCUGAAAAAGGAUGCACAGGCUUGUUCAUCGGCAUUCCAAUCUUUGGAAGCCUUCAAGGCCCGACACAAGAACAAGUCGUUUACUCUCACGCACGGUUGGCCGCUCAUCAAAGAUUACCCCAAGUUCAAAGACCAAUAUGCCACUCAUAAGAAUAAAGGAGGGAAGGCGGCCAUGGCUGAUGAGGGAGACUUGAUCACCCAAGGGGCAAGACAAGUUCGAAGGCCGACGUGA
Molecule: ribosomal RNA, 498 nt
Filed under: Triticum aestivum (bread wheat)
Lineage: Eukaryota; Viridiplantae; Streptophyta; Magnoliopsida; Poales; Poaceae
Description: partial small subunit ribosomal RNA
Source: RNAcentral